UACGUAGGGCGCAAGCGUUGUCCGGAAUUAUUGGGCGUAAAGAGCUCGUAGGUGGCUUGUCACGUCGGGUGUGAAAGCUUGGGGCUUAACUCCAGGUCUGCAUUCGAUACGGGCUGGCUAGAGGUAGGUAGGGGAGAACGGAAUUCCUGGUGUAGCGGUGAAAUGCGCAGAUAUCAGGAGGAACACCGGUGGCGAAGGCGGUUCUCUGGGCAUUACCUGACGCUGAGGAGCGAAAGUGUGGGGAGCGAACAGG
Molecule: ribosomal RNA, 253 nt
Filed under: uncultured bacterium
Lineage: Bacteria
Description: partial 16S ribosomal RNA
Rfam family: Bacterial small subunit ribosomal RNA
Source: RNAcentral